This 667-nucleotide ribosomal RNA is filed under the name Ceriporia reticulata. RNAcentral's name for it is "eukaryotic LSU rRNA". The record is from RNAcentral. Lineage: Eukaryota; Fungi; Basidiomycota; Agaricomycetes; Polyporales; Irpicaceae.
UAGAGGAAGUAAAAGUCGUAACAAGGUUUCCGUAGGUGAACCUGCGGAAGGAUCAUUAUCGAGUUUUGAACAGGUUGUAGCUGGCCUCUUAAUGAGGUAUGUGCACGCUUGGCUCAUCCACUCUUCAACCCCUGUGCACUUUUCAUAGGAUAGGCAAAGGCUGGGAAUACUUCUCAGUUCAAUGUCUGCUCUGUGURAUUUUUAUACCAACUCUUGUUGUAUAUGAAUGUCUUCUUGCGGAUAACGCAAUUAUAAAAUAACUUUCAGCAACGGAUCUCUUGGCUCUCGCAUCGAUGAAGAACGCAGCGAAAUGCGAUAAGUAAUGUGAAUUGCAGAAUUCAGUGAAUCAUCGAAUCUUUGAACGCACCUUGCGCUCCUUGGUAUUCCUUGGAGCAUGCCUGUUUGAGUAUCAUGGAAUUCUCAACUCCCAAGUUUCUUAUAGAAGCUUGGUGAGCUUGGACUUGGAGGAUUUGUGCUGGCUAUUAAUCUAGUCGGCUCCUCUGAAAUGCAUUAGCAUGAAUUUUGCGAUCAUCUUCAGUGUGAUAAUUGUCUACGCUGUGRAUGUGAAGCAAUUUAUAUUUAUGCUUAUAGUCGUCUUUUAAAGACACUUUCUUGACUUCUGAUCUCAAAUCAGGUAGGACUACCCGCUGAACUUAAGCAUAUCAAU